ACCUCAGUGUGCACCUAAAUUACUAUCAGAAUCUUUAAAUUUUCAUUUCUUUACUUUUUUCCAGCUAUGGCUUCCAAUUUCACUGCCUGUCCUCCCCUUGUGCCUGAUUCCCAACUCACUCUUCAGAACUCUCUCACCACCAUUUUCCACCUUUACUGCACCUUCCAAUUUGAUUCUAAUAAAAAAAAUCUUCCACAUUUGAAAACUAUAAAUAAAUUGGACAAAUGCAUUCAAUGCUCAGAAGCACUACAAUGAAUGUUACUUGAAUGUCUAGAAUCACCAGAAAAGGAAAAGAGAAUAAACCAGGAUUUUGUAUCUUUGUGCCAUUGUAGCAUUGUGUGAAAUAGUUCCACCCAGCAGUGUGCACAUUUCUGGCCUCUAAAUAAAUAAACUAUUGCAAGAGGCAAAGAAAUUUCUGAGAGAAGUGAUAAAGCUGAUUUAAUGCUUAAAAUGGCUUUUCUAUUAAGCAUACUAGGACACCUUCAGAUCAAUGACCACUGAGUGAAUAUGUUCUUGCUUACCUUUACUACCUAGGAGGUCAGUAGUUAAAUAUAUCAAACUUAUGAAGUCUAAUCUAAUCAUAAAAUUAGUUACAGCCAAAGGGUUAUUGACAUCAGAAAUGCUGUCUAAAUUUCCUAGGCAGUUUUUAAAAGUAAAUAGAUCCUUACUCUAUAGGUUUUUUUCAAAUCAGAGAGAAGAGAGAAAGAUGUUGUGUGGAAAGAAGAUAUUGGUGCCAUCUCUCUCCUCACAGAAAUCAAUUCUGGACUACACAGCUGCUUACACAAGCCUUAACACUGGUGGUUGCUGGCACCCUGGUUUGUGCUGGUAUUCUCAUGAUUCCCUCAGAAAAUACUUGUGAAGGCCAUAAAGGAAUCCCACGACAGGAAAAACCUGUAGCUUCUACAGGAAGAGGACUUGUUUUCUAUUUAAGAGAAAAGAGGCAUCAUUUGUAUGCAGAGUGCAGAGGCCUGAAACAAUCAAACCCCUCCAAGAUUUGAUACCCAGAGGUGCCUCUUGAGGAGGAGAAAAGGUUUGUUUGCAUCAGCCCUGUUACUGUGGCAGGGCUGUUUCUGUACCUGCAGCCAUGCAUUGAGUGUUCCAGGACGGAAUGGGCGAGGAGAGGGGAAGGAUGAAAUGAUCAGGAGCUCCUGACAGAAGUAUUUUAUCAUGUAGGAUGGACCAUUGAUCUCUCAGCUUUGAAGCCUGCAGAACCAAAAUAAUAUUUUCUAACGGAGCAAGCUGGAACAUCCCAAAUGCUCCUUGGGUUGUUUUGGUUUUGUGGUGGGUUGUUUAGGGCUUUAUUUGUUUGUUUUUGUUCGGUAGUUGGGGUUUUUCCCGCUUUAGGCCGGGCAGCAGCCACGGUAUAACAAAACAGCAGUAAAAAAACGCAAAUUAGCAGUUGAGAAAAUGAAUACUGGAAGAUUUCAAGACACGGACUGGUUUUACAGCAGGCAGGGCGAGAUGCUCGUCACUCAUCGCGGUGUCCUCCAGCGGAUCCAUCGUCACCGGCUGAGGAUUAGGGAAAGGAAAAGGACUCGGGGGCAGGGCAGGGAGCGCAGGGAAUGGAGGGG
This is a long non-coding RNA of Zonotrichia albicollis (white-throated sparrow), 1571 nucleotides long. The record is from Ensembl. Lineage: Eukaryota; Metazoa; Chordata; Aves; Passeriformes; Passerellidae.